UCAGUGUCGGUGUGUGUGUGUAGUGGAUAAACCCAUGUGCACCGACGGAGCGAACACACAUAUAUACGCACAUACAGCAUCCCAGGAACGUCAUGGCAACUUGGUGAGAAGGGGCGGCGCUGUUAUUGCACCGCGGUCGAGACUGGUCGACGCAGCGCGGAUCAGCCGAUUAGACGCUCGCUCUGUCGGACCAGAGUGAACAUGAACCAGCGUCAAAUGCAGGUCCUCCAUCAACCAAAAACGAUGCAGUGACAGUGUGGAUAACCAACAGAGGCCAGAUUUUGGUCCUGGUGAAAGAUGGCGCCGUCUGGGUCGCGCAGUGUCACACGGGGCUGCAAGAGAGUUUUACACUGGAUCCCAGUUUUAUUCAUCGCCGUUAUAGUGGCAUGGUCUUACUACGCUUAUGUUGUCCAGCUUUGCAUCGAGUCUGUUGAAAAUGUUGGGGAGAAACUUGUCUACCUGCUGGCCUAUCACGUGUUCUUCUUCAUGUUUGCGUGGGCAUACUGGCAAACCAUCUUCACCAAGCCCAUGCACCCUUUGAAGGAGUUCCAUCUGUCGUACUGUGAUAAAGAGCUGAUGGACAAGGCGGACAGAGGAGAGUCCCAACAGGAGAUACUCAAAAGGAUCAUCAAGGACUUGCCAGUCUACACACGCACCAUGUCAGGAGCCAUCCGCUUUUGCGACCGUUGCAUUUUGGUGAAGCCUGACCGAUGUCACCACUGUUCAGUCUGUGAUAAGUGCAUCUUGAAAAUGGAUCACCACUGUCCAUGGGUGAAUAACUGUGUGGGCUUCUCCAACUACAAGUAUUUCAUGCUGUUUCUGGCCUACUCUCUGCUCUACUGCCUCUUCAUCACCGCUACAGACCUGCAGUACUUCGUCAAAUUCUGGCUGAGUGGGCUGCCAGACACCCAGGCCAAGUUCCACAUCAUGUUCCUGUUCUUCGCUGCCUCCAUGUUCUCUGUCAGUCUGGCCGCCCUCUUCUCAUACCACUGCUGGCUAGUAUGCAAAAACAGAUCUACUCUGGAGGCUGUUCGAGCUCCUGCAUUCCGUAAUGGGCCUGAUAAAAAUGGCUUCAGCCUGGGCAUCGAAAAGAACUUCCGUCAGGUGUUUGGGGACGAGAUGAAGUACUGGCCAGUUCCAGUGUUCUCAAGCUUGGGAGACGGCUGCUCCUUCCCCACCUGUCUGGUGAACCAGGACCCCGAACAGCCAACCACCUCACCCAGCCACAGCCUACCCAGUACAAGUGUGGAAGAGCCUCAGCAUCAGCACCAGUACGAACAUCAUCAGCAUCCGCAUCCUCAUCCUCCUCACCCCCAUCAUCAGCACCAGCAUCAGCAUCAGCAGCAGUUCCCCGCCAAGCCCCUGCGGGAGUCCCAGAGUCGGCUGCUGAGCAGCAGCGAGUCGUGGCGAGAGGGCCUGAGCGGGGCGGCCGAGCACCGGGAGAGCAGGACUGGUGAGAGGAAAGGCGCAGCAGCCGCAGCAGCAGCAGCAACAGCAGCAGAUGGAGGGCCCAGCGCUGGCAUUACGACUGGCAUUACAGCAACUGGCACUGGCAUUGCCAAUUAUGGAGCCUGUCGGAUAUAGAGAUUAGCUUACACUGAACGGUACACCAAAUCCAGCCAUGACAAUAGAAAAUGAACAUUAGCUGGAAGUGGUGUCAACGUUCUUCACGGAAGAAAAGCUCCUCAUUUACAUAGACAAAACAGGGGAAGCCCUCUGAGCGUCUACGAGGAUGUGUUGUUAUGGCAAUGCUAUGUACUGUAACCCCCAAUCGUUUUGUACACGUUGCUUCAGUGCACAGCGCAUCCUGCCUAAGGGUAGUGUCACUUACCAGAGCGCAUACUGACCACCUUGUCUUCUACUGGCACUAUCAGCGGUGUCUUUAAAGUCAUAACCCUCUGAUAUUUUAAUGAAGCUAUAACUGGACCUUUCUGAGUUUCUCAACGAUGUGAGUUGGGUUGUACGAGUCCCAUGAGUCUCUUGAGAAAAGACGCAAUUGUAUGCGAAAGUGCUUUGAGCACUCGCGAGGAAGUUUUACGACUUGUGUCCUUACAUGAAUCUGAAAAAAAAAAAAUUCCACACAUAACUGCUCUGAAUGGCUAGGAGAGCUAUAUGUUAAUGCAUGAUGUGUGUGUAUUUUUUAAAGUGCUGUAUGUCUCUUUCUAUAAAAAAUUCUAUACAAAUGCUGAGAAGGGCUGGAAAAUGGUCUUAUGAGGGUACCCGGAGGUAACGUUGGUUUCCUCGUGAUGGGAGUGGACUGGUGACUCUUUGAGGAGUAUGGUUGCACACGUGAGUUUAGAAACACUCACAAAUCUGAGAGUACUCAUUAUGUCAAGGAUUUUCAACACAGUUCCAAAGGAAAUAGAAUGCCUGUAAAAAUCGAGAAGGACAGGGUCAAAUGAUUCACUCUUCAAAGAGUUAACAUUAUGAUACCAAGGUUUGCCAGGUGUUUCAGAAGAUGCAAAAAAAAAAGUUAUGUUGUGGUUAUGAGAGCACAGUGGAAUUUUGGAUCGAUUUUCAUGUCUUGCAAAUAAUUCAAAUGGUGUCUGCAAAGCUUCUAUGGCUGUUACCGUUCUCUGUAGCACACCCUAGUUGUCAAACAGGACACAUUGAAUAUGUAAACUGAAAUAGGCAUAGCAGAUGCAAAAUAUGAACAGUACCUUCAUCUUUUUACAUUUUUAAAAAAUGCUGAGGAAUGUAACAUUCCGAUGAUUUUGAAUGUCUUACAAAAGUAUUUGUAAAUCUGUGACUUUAUGACUUGAUACUGUAUGGAGGGCUUUUUAAAUAAUGACAGGUAUGAAAAUGUAUAUGUAAGAAAACGUGAAGGUGCAUGAUAAGAAUCUCCCAAAUUGGUUUACUUUGUGGGUUCUGUAAACAUAAUUAAAACUCUUUUUUGAGUGUUUUUUUUUGUUAUCCGAAGGAGAAGAUAUGCUUAAUCCA
This is an RNA transcript of Engraulis encrasicolus (European anchovy), 2940 nucleotides long. It is a transcript of the gene named zinc finger DHHC-type palmitoyltransferase 2, with no coding region annotated. NCBI's taxonomy places the organism in Eukaryota, Metazoa, Chordata, Actinopteri, Clupeiformes, Engraulidae. The transcript is spliced from 13 exons. The record is from RefSeq and is a predicted model, not a curated record.